Molecule: ribosomal RNA, 500 nt
Filed under: uncultured Acidobacteriota bacterium
Lineage: Bacteria; Pseudomonadati; Acidobacteriota
Description: bacterial SSU rRNA
Rfam family: Bacterial small subunit ribosomal RNA
Source: RNAcentral
GAGUUUGAUCCUGGCUCAGAAUCAACGCUGGCGGCGUGCCUAACACAUGCAAGUCGAACGCGAAAGCCCCGCAAGGGGCAAGUAGAGUGGCAAACGGGUGAGUAACGCGUGGGCGACCUACCUUCGAGUGGGGGAUAACCUUCCGAAAGGAGGGCUAAUACCGCAUGACAUCCCAUGUUUGGAUACAUGGACAUCAAAGCCGGGGAUCGCAAGACCUGGCGCUUGAAGAGGGGCCUGCGUCCGAUUAGCUAGUUGGUGGGGUCACGGCCCACCAAGGCGACGAUCGGUAUCCGGCCUGAGAGGGCGGACGGACACACUGGAACUGAGACACGGUCCAGACUCCUACGGGAGGCAGCAGUGGGGAAUUGUUCGCAAUGGCGCAAGCCUGACGACGCAACGCCGCGUGGAGGAUGAAGACUUUCGGGUCGUAAACUCCUUUCGACCGAGAUGAAUUCCUGCCGGCCUAACAUGCCGGCAGGGUGACAGUAUCGAGGGAAGAA